RNAcentral lists this ribosomal RNA (459 nucleotides) under uncultured bacterium. RNAcentral's name for it is "bacterial SSU rRNA". It matches the Rfam family "Bacterial small subunit ribosomal RNA", at positions 32 to 500 of the family's 1533-position model. The record is from RNAcentral.
AACGCUGGCGGUGCGCCUUAUGCAUGCAAGUCGAGCGAAGCUUUUCAGUAGUUUACUACAGAAAAUGACUGAGCGGCGAACGGGUGAGUAACGCGUGAGCAAUCUACCUUAGUUACAGGGAUAGCCCGAGGAAACUCGGAUUAAUACCUGAUAUUCUUUACAUUUCGCAUGAAAUCAAAAGGAAAGGUCAGCCGAACUAAGAUGAGCUCGCGUUCUAUCAGCUAGUUGGUGAGGUAAAAGCUCACCAAGGCUACGACGGAUAGCUGGUCUGAGAGGACGAUCAGCCACACUGGGACUGAGACACGGCCCAGACUCCUACGGGAGGCUGCAGCAGGGAAUAUUGCGCAAUGAGCGAAAGCUUGACGCAGCGACACCGCGUGUGGGAUGACGGAUCUAGGUUUGUAAACCACUUUCAGGAGGGAAGAAAAUGACGGUACCUCCACAAGAAGCCCCGGCCAA